Long non-coding RNA from Astatotilapia calliptera (eastern happy), 1195 nucleotides. NCBI's taxonomy places the organism in Eukaryota, Metazoa, Chordata, Actinopteri, Cichliformes, Cichlidae. The record is from Ensembl.
GGAAGCCUGAGUACGGCAGCAGAAGACAGGCCAAGCUUUGGCUAAAAUUCACGGCUGGACACCAGAGUUGUCCUCACCCCUCCCGGUAAAACAAAAAAGAGAGAAUGUAGUUUGAGGCGGGUUUUUCUCGCUGACCUGCUCUGGGUGCUGUGUCCCUGAAUCUCACCAGUGUUAACCUCUGGCGGAAGACAUGGAGAAAAGGAAAAGAUGUUCCUGGUAAAUCACUGAAACAAAUAAAACCACACACAACCAGAGAAAGAUAUGAGAAGUGUGUGGAACAGACACAUGUGCGUGUUAGAGAAAUGCCUCGUUUGAGAAAAAGUUAAAGUAGCGACACUUAACAUACACCUGUUUUUAAAUGAUAUAGUUCAUACAUUACUGACAAUUAAACGCUUUGGGUUGCAGGACAACAACGUAACGUCAAAAGACAAAGACACUGGUCUGAGGAUUAAGUGAGGACACGACAAAUUUAGUGGUUAAAAGGGUCGACUUGGGACAUGUUUUUGUUGAUUGUUUAAGACAAAUGACUACUGAAUGAUAGGAAAUUCCUUUUUAGGUUUCUAAACAGGAUCUUAAGAAUUUUAACACGUACCUGUGUUGUCCUGUCAACUUGAGGGGUUAUGAGUUGAUUAUAUGGAGAAAAAAAAAAAAAAAAAAAAAAACAAAAACAAAAAAGGGGGGAGACGAGAUCUCGUUGUUUCUCCCCUCUCGGGAUAACACAGCCAACACAGCACAGCCAACACAACAUCAUUUUCCUGUUCGCCUGUUUUGUUUUGUUUUUGUUUUUUCUGAGAGCCGAAGCUGACCUGGACUCCUACCCUCCCCUCUACCAUCGUUGCCCUCUCCGCGACCAUCUUUGACCCUUUGACCCCUGAAGGCCACAGCAGCUGGACUCACAACAACAACUUGAGGAUGUCAACAGUGCUGCAAAAGAGUGAUCUCAUGCAGCAGAGACGGAGAGCACUAAACCUAAAGCCCGUUUCACUACACGGGGGAAAUUCCCAGGCUGCGUCAGCUGACAGAGCUGUGACGAGACGCGCAUUAAGCCCGGAGGAAAAGGGACGGUGAGCAGAAGGAUGCUGACCUCUGAGAAGAGCCGAACAGCAGAGCUGCAGAAGGCCGUGGAGCAAAGUAAGGAAGAUGCAGGCAGCUGCAACAACGGAUGAAAACAGACCCAAAGAGGAGGGGAGGACCC